GUACAGAGCAUGAAUAAUAAUAAAUAUCAAUAUAUAUUGAAUCAUAUUCAUGUUCAUUGAAUGUUCUUUGAGCUCAAUUAAAAUGCAGAGCAUGCUUGAUAAUGUCUACGCUAUUGCAAUUCGUUUUGACUUUAACGAAUUCAAAUGAAUCCUCAAUAAAAUCUCCGUAGGCUAAGAUGUUUCUCUGGAUCUCAUUUAAUUGACAAACGUUUUUUUUAUAUUUGCAGAACAUGUUGGUAUUGGGCAAGACUUAAGCUCAACAGUCGGAGCUAAAACGGAUAUUUGCCUAUCAACAUGGCCAUAAAUCGUGUGAUAGAUCGAUCGAUCGUUGGCUUCAAUGAAAUGUGCUUACAAAUCGCGCUGGAAAACUUAUCUCUUCAACUUAAAAUGCUUCAUAAAUCUACAGCUCAAACCACGGCCAAUAUGUCAUCAAUCAUGUGCAUUGGUAGCUUGAGUUCUAGCGAUCCAAUUACCCAGUUUGGCAAAAGGACAGAGUGGAUCCUGCGCAGUCUCAGCCGCAUUUUACUGCCCAGCCCCUUCUUGCCAGUAUUUAAGGAGGAGCGGAGGGACAGGCAAUGCAGCUGUUGCACUGCUGCCGUACAAAUUCAAAAAGAUUUUCAAAGCGACCCCGAUUAUCAUAUGUUUAAUGCCAAUCGAUAGUAAUCUCCAUGAUAUAAAAUAACCAAGGACAUAUAGGCCAUGAAUGGCGCUCAAUUCCUGAUUACUGACAAAUUAAGGACUACAAUGAGCUCUAAGGACCUCCACGACUGACAAAGCAUAUUUUUCCAGGAUCAGACUUCAAUUAAGCCAGAUAUAGCUAUUUUA
Molecule: RNA transcript, 825 nt
Organism: Drosophila novamexicana
Lineage: Eukaryota; Metazoa; Arthropoda; Insecta; Diptera; Drosophilidae
Exons: 6
Source: RefSeq, a predicted model, not a curated record